This 495-nucleotide ribosomal RNA is filed under the name uncultured bacterium. RNAcentral's name for it is "partial 16S ribosomal RNA". It matches the Rfam family "Bacterial small subunit ribosomal RNA", at positions 28 to 507 of the family's 1533-position model. The record is from RNAcentral.
GACGAACGCUGGCGGCGUGCCUAAUACAUGCAAGUAGAACGCUGAAGGAGGAGCUUGCUUCUCUGGAUGAGUUGCGAACGGGUGAGUAACGCGUAGGUAACCUGCCUGGUAGCGGGGGAUAACUAUUGGAAACGAUAGCUAAUACCGCAUAAUAGCAGUUAUUGCAUGAUAACUGUUUGAAAGGUGCAAUUGCACCACUACCAGAUGGACCUGCGUUGUAUUAGCUAGUUGGUGGGGUAACGGCUCACCAAGGCGACGAUACAUAGCCGACCUGAGAGGGUGAUCGGCCACACUGGGACUGAGACACGGCCCAGACUCCUACGGGAGGCAGCAGUAGGGAAUCUUCGGCAAUGGACGGAAGUCUGACCGAGCCACGCCGCGGGAGUGGAGAAGGUUUUCGGGUCGUAAAGCUCUGUUGUAAGAGAAGAACGAGUGUGAGGGUGGAAAGUUCACACUGUGACGGUAUCUUACCAGAAAGGGACGGCUAACUACGUG